RNAcentral lists this ribosomal RNA (253 nucleotides) under uncultured bacterium. RNAcentral describes it as "partial 16S ribosomal RNA". It matches the Rfam family "Bacterial small subunit ribosomal RNA", at positions 524 to 776 of the family's 1533-position model. The record is from RNAcentral.
UACGGAGGGUGCAAGCGUUAUCCGGAUUCACUGGGUUUAAAGGGUGCGUAGGUGGGCAGGUAAGUCAGUGGUGAAAUCUCUGGGCUUAACUCAGAAACUGCCAUUGAUACUAUCUGUCUUGAAUUUCCUGGAGGUAAGCGGAAUAUGUCAUGUAGCGGUGAAAUGCUUAGAUAUGACAUAGAACACCAAUUGCGAAGGCAGCUUACUACGGGAAUAUUGACACUGAGGCACGAAAGCGUGGGGAUCAAACAGG